This 400-nucleotide long non-coding RNA is filed under the name Pan troglodytes (chimpanzee). Its description in RNAcentral is "lincRNA". Lineage: Eukaryota; Metazoa; Chordata; Mammalia; Primates; Hominidae. The record is from RNAcentral.
CGAUAUGUGAAUGCAUUUUAUAAAUGCCCUGCUCUCAGCUGCUGAACAUUCUCCUGCUGAAAGGCAGGGAGCUAAUUAGCACAGCCACCUCGACAGCGUCUGUUCCAGUCUCCCCUGCAUGCAUGCUAGAACACCUUUGAACAAUGGAUGACAGUCUGCAGAGAGCACAGAGCUCCCGGAGAACAUAAAAAUGCAAUGGAACAGAAUGAAGGGAUGCAAGUCACAAUCGUCUCAACUGCAAGUUGGCCAAAGUAAACAUUGCCCCAAAGUGCUCCCAAAGCUUGCUGGCACAUAAACAUGAAUGAAUGAACAAUGUAGAAUUCACUCAAGAAAUUUCAAGGAGAGAGAGGAGGAGAUUUACAUCACACAGCAAACAACCUAAUAAAUCUGUUAAACGCCA